CUGAAGUUACUAGUAAGUAAGUUGCCAUCAGAAGGGAAAACAAAUCGUUUAUCUCACCGCAUUUAGGCCACAACUGCCUAUGAUGCUCAAAGCCCUUGCGCAAUAAUCCCAGCAUCACUUGGCAACUCAAAAAUUGUUUUGACAUCACCGCCUCACCCAACAAUACAAAACCCCAACCCUACGAAGCAAAACUCGAAAAGAAACUCAAAGACAAGUUCACAAUUCGACGGAUCCAAGGGAGAAACGAGCUGCUGCCAUCAAAAGGGAAAACACAUAACUUUAAUCUCAUCGCAUCAGGCAGAAACAAGCCAUGAAUUGCUCAAAGCCCUUGCGCAAUAAUCCCAGCAUCACUUGGCAGGACAGCACAAAGCAUCCCUUCUUUUCCGAAUUAAAGCAAUGAACACACAUCAGAUUAGCGAUAAGGAGAGAAAAGUCUGGCAGAAAGAGAAGAAGUUCGAGAAGAAACGCGGGCAGAUUCGCACCCGAGACUGCGAGAGCUGUUAGGGUUUGGGGCUUACGGAGAACGCCUGGCGGCGGCGGUCGGCGGAGAAGAAGGGAAGGCCUGGCUAUAUAUCUCCCCGGUCUUUAAGGACGGAGACGAGCCCUGAAACUG
Molecule: long non-coding RNA, 613 nt
Filed under: Oryza sativa (Asian cultivated rice)
Lineage: Eukaryota; Viridiplantae; Streptophyta; Magnoliopsida; Poales; Poaceae
Description: long non-coding RNA (OSAT_LNC001394)
Source: RNAcentral